This is a long non-coding RNA of Podarcis raffonei (Aeolian wall lizard), 520 nucleotides long. RefSeq lists it as uncharacterized. The record is from RefSeq and is a predicted model, not a curated record. The transcript has 2 exons. NCBI's taxonomy places the organism in Eukaryota, Metazoa, Chordata, Lepidosauria, Squamata, Lacertidae.
UUUCAGCAUGCAGGCCUUCUGUUAAACACAAAGAUACAAGGCUAGUUAACAUAGCAGGGAAUUCUAGGGAGGAGGGAGAAUGCCACAGGCCUUUUUGCACCUUGUCUGCCUUAAGGCCGCAUUGAUACAUUUCACCCCCAUUUCUCCAAAGCAGGUGAAUCCAGGAAGCUGCCAAGAUGUGUAGUUGCUGCUUUAGUUCGUGUUCGGGUCAGGGUUCUCUCUGGGACUGUUUUGUGAAUACAGUGAAGAGUUUCCUAAGGCCCUUGAAGAAUUUGCUUUUCGGGUUCAAAGAACUUCCUGAGCGUCCUUUUGAGGCUCCCAAGCUUCCCAAGGUUGCUGAGAAGACAAAGUGAGGUGGGGCAGAACGUCUGCUGAUUCCCUUCCAUGAUGGACUCGGUCUCCUCUCCUCCUCCACCGCUGGCAGAGCAUGGAUGGGUCUCCCCCCCGACUGUCAAGGGGCUCCGUGAUAUUAUGUUAGCCCCAAAUUCCAAAGCAGAAUAAAGCUUGUUUUGGAUCUGAA